This 1140-nucleotide ribosomal RNA is filed under the name uncultured amoeba. Its description in RNAcentral is "partial small subunit ribosomal RNA". The stretch from base 46 to 575 matches the Rfam family "Eukaryotic small subunit ribosomal RNA", at positions 623 to 1113 of the family's 1831-position model. The record is from RNAcentral.
UUUUCGGCGACUGGUUGGCCGAGCGCGUCCGGAGUAGUGUUGGUUAGAGCUCGUAGUUGGAUUUCAGAGGGUCUUGUAUGUGGUCCGCCCCUAUCGGGGAGCGCGUCACUGGCCUCCUAUGUUCGUAACGGUCCUCAUCCGCGCAGGGGGGCGGAAUCAACCGCUAGGAUCGUUUACUUUGAGGAAAUUAUGAGUGUUCAAAGCAUGAGUAACUCGCCUCCGAAAUACGAUUAGCAUGCGAUAAUGGAAUACGACUUCGGCCUUGUUUCGUUGGUUUCGCUUGGCUGAAGUAAUGAUUGAUAUGGACAGUUGGGGGGAUUAGUAUUUAGUUGUCAGAGGUGAAAUUCAUCGGAUUUACUAACCGACUGACCAGUGUCGUAAAGUUAUUUUACCAAGGGAUGUUGUCAUAUAGAUCAAGAACGUAAAGUAGGGGGUAUCGAAGACGUAUCAGUAUACCGCUCGUAACUCUCUAACCGAUAAACUGAUGCCCGACCAGGGGCAUCCGGAAGAGAUUUGCUAUGGGAUGAACUCCACCGGCGCACCAUUGCUGAGAAAAUACAUAAGGUGUUUUGGGUAUUUGGAGGGGUAGUCAUGAGUUCGCAAGGGCCUGGAAUACUUCAAAGGUAAUGUGAACGCGACAGGGUCACCAUCCAAGGGAGAUGGCAACUCUGUCGGCCUGUAAGUUUUGCACCUCAAACCAUCGGCGGGAAUACAUUAACGCAGUGUACAGGGAACAUCUGGUAGAGCGCAUUUGGACCAGCAUUUGCAAAAGGCUUCUGUUCUUUGAAUUUCCAUAUGGGGAUGCGUUGGCUGACAAUGGGCCCGCUUACUUUAAGCUUUGUGUUGGGAAGUGGAAUUUUGAUCUUGGGAAUAAAUAUCCCCGUAUUAGGCGAAAACUGGAGAAACUCUUUUAACGGUAGAAACCUUGGAACCAAAAAUUCCACCUUCCCCAACCCAAAACUUAAAGAAAAACGGGGCCCAUUGGCAACCCAACCCACCCCCCUGGGAAAAAUUCCAGGAAAAAAAAGGAAGACCUUUUUUCCAAAAUUCCGGGGUUCCAAAUUCCCCCACAAAGGGAGGUUCCCGGAACCCCCCCCUCAAAAAAGGAAUUUUUCCCCCCCGCCUUUUGGGAAGGGUUCC